CCGGCGCACGGGUGAGUAACGCGUAUGCAACUUACCUAUCAGAGGGGGACGAACCGGCGAAAGUCGGACUGAUACCGCAUGAAGCAGGGGCCCCGCAUGGGGAUAUUUGCUAAAGAUUCAUCGCUGAUAGAUAGGCAUGCGUUCCAUUAGGCAGUUGGCGGGGUAACGGCCCACCAAACCGACGAUGGAUAGGGGUUCUGAGAGGAAGGUCCCCCACAUUGGUACUGAGACACGGACCAA
RNAcentral lists this ribosomal RNA (240 nucleotides) under uncultured bacterium. Its description in RNAcentral is "partial 16S ribosomal RNA". It matches the Rfam family "Bacterial small subunit ribosomal RNA", at positions 95 to 334 of the family's 1533-position model. The record is from RNAcentral.